This 451-nucleotide ribosomal RNA is filed under the name uncultured bacterium. RNAcentral describes it as "bacterial SSU rRNA". It matches the Rfam family "Bacterial small subunit ribosomal RNA", at positions 354 to 796 of the family's 1533-position model. The record is from RNAcentral.
GUGAGGAAUUUUGCGCAAUGGGCGAAAGCCUGACGCAGCGACGCCGCGUGGACGACGAAGGCCUUCGGGUCGUAAAGUCCUGUCGAGAGGGAAGAGCCGGACGGGGGCGAUAAACCUCCGUCUCCGACGGUACCUCUGGAGGAAGCCCCGGCUAACUCCGUGCCAGCAGCCGCGGUAAUACGGAGGGGGCCAGCGUUGUUCGGAAUUAUUGGGCGUAAAGGGCGCGUAGGCGGCCUGGUCAGUCGGGUGUGAAAUCCCUCGGCUCAACCGAGGAACUGCACCCGAAACUUCCAGGCUUGAGUCCGGGAGAGGAGAGUGGAAUUCCCAGUGUAGCGGUGAAAUGCGUAGAUAUUGGGAGGAACACCGGUGGCGAAGGCGGCUCUCUGGACCGGUACUGACGCUGAGGCGCGAAAGCCAGGGGAGCAAACAGGAUUAGAUACCCGAGUAGUCC